GACAGAGGGUGCUAGCGUUGUUCGGAAUGACUGGGCGUAAAGGGCGCGUAGGCGGGAAUAUUAGUCAAGCGUGAAAGCCCCAGGCUUAACCUGGGAACAGCGCAUGAAACGGUAUACCUAGAGGACGAGAGAGGAAAGCGGAAUUCCUAGUGUAGAGGUGAAAUUCGUAGAUAUUAGGAGGAACACCAGAGGCGAAGGCGGCUUUCUGGCUCAUAACUGACGCUGAGGCGCGAAAGCGUGGGGAGCAAACAGG
This 253-nucleotide ribosomal RNA is filed under the name uncultured bacterium. RNAcentral's name for it is "partial 16S ribosomal RNA". It matches the Rfam family "Bacterial small subunit ribosomal RNA", at positions 524 to 776 of the family's 1533-position model. The record is from RNAcentral.